Pyrus x bretschneideri (Chinese white pear) is the source of this 1237-nucleotide long non-coding RNA. RefSeq lists it as uncharacterized. The record is from RefSeq and is a predicted model, not a curated record. Lineage: Eukaryota; Viridiplantae; Streptophyta; Magnoliopsida; Rosales; Rosaceae. The transcript is spliced from 4 exons.
CUCUCUCUUGUCAAAUGAACAAUGUUAUUUUGGGUUUGAACGCUUGAUCCAACUACUCUUAUGAGCAGUGUUAUAUUAGUUCAUGAUAAUUAUAAUAGAUUAUAAUUUUAUUAAUUGGAUUGCACAUUAUUUAGUGAAUUGAAGGAUACUCGGAGAUUUGAGCUGUUGGGUUUUUUUUGUUUAAAAGACUCGGAUUGAACUUCUGAAAUUAGUUGGGUGAAGAAUUUGACAAAAUAUGUUCUUUUCUCUCUUAAUUUUCGAACUUUGGAUUUGAUUGAGGAUCAUCAUAAGGGAGGGAGGGGUGAAUUACCAUUUUAUAAUCGAUGAUAUAUAAAUAAUAAAUUGAGUUCCCUAAUUUUUCUGUUAUAGGUGAGGAAAGCACCGAGCCUGCAGCAGCAUGCACCAGCUCAACUGAAGGUCGAAGGUUGCAUUCUCAUGGCAAAAGGCAAAAGUGAAGGACUCUAAGCUUCCAGAAUGUCAAAUUUGUAAAACUUUCGUGCAGGUUUGCGUUGGAUAUAGGAUAGUCAUGGAUCGGUUUGAAGCUCGGCUAAUGAUAGUUUCAGAUCUUGAUCAUACAAUGUUGUGGACAGGCACAGUUGAGGGAGGUGACAUUGCAGGAAGAGAAUGCUGUAUAUGAAAGGGCAGUAUCGUGGGAAAAUAAAAUACAGGAGAAAAUUCAAGAAGCAGAUUUGCGGAAGAGGAAGCUAAUGAUGAGACUUGAGUAUGUCGUAUUUUUGUUAAUGGAGACCAACAAUCUUUCUGAAAAUUUAUGAUUUUUGUUAUCAGGAGAUGGAAGAGAAUGAAAGGAAUUUGAGAUAUGAACUCGAAAAUGCACAAACCGCAUUGGAUGCCAGUUGAUCUGGUCAAUCAGAUGAAUCCAUUGGUGACCCGAAGACAACAGUUGAAACCGAAAAUGACGUAGAAGCUUUAAAGAAGGCUAUGCUUGAAAAAUUAGAGGAGAGGAAAAAAUAAGUGGUGCUCCCAUGGCUUCAUCGGAGAAGCCUGUGCCUGCUGCUGGUCUGCUUGCUGUCGUUUCUCACACUGUUAAUUGUUUUUUUAUUUUUGUUGAUUUGAUUAACGGUAGAAGCUAUCUUUAUUUCUAUUAGUAUCUUGAUUUGCAUAACAGUUCAAGCAUAUCUUUUCUGUGUUUAUUGUUUCCUUGGUGUUUAAUUUUAUUUGAAUUUCUUAACUUGUUCAAAGGAUGCUUUGGUUAGUAGCCAUUUUUAUUUACUGGUUU